UCAAGCUACUAAGGGCAUACGGCGGAUGCCUAGGCGCCAUCAGCCGAUGAAGGACGCGGUAAGCUGCGAAAAGCUACGGGGAACUGCAAGCAAGUAUUGAUCCGUAGAUGUCCGAAUGGGGAAACCCACCUGCCGUCAUGGGCAGGUAUCCGAAAGGAAGGGAACCCGGGGAACUGAAACAUCUAAGUACCCGGAGGAAGAGAAAUCAAACGAGAUGCCCACAGUAGCGGCGAGCGAAGAGGGCAGAGGGCAAACCGGGGAGCUACGGCUCUUCGGGGUUGAGGACUGCAUUUAGUCUUAAUGGUUUAUCCGAACUACCUGGAAAGGUAGGCAACACAGUGUAAAAGCCACGUAGGUUAAAGACCAAAGAGAUGAGCAGUAUCCAGAGUACCACGAGGCACGAGGAAUCUUGUGGGAAGCCGGGGGGACCACCCUCCAACCCUAAACACUGAAUGGCGACCGAUAGCGCAUAGUACCGUGAGGGAAAGGUGAAAAGAACCCCGGGAGGGGAGUGAAAGAGAACCUGAAACCGUAUGUCUACAAGCAGUCGGAGCGAAAGCGACGGCGUGCCUAUUGAAGAAUGAACCAACGAGUUACGUGCACUAGCGAGGUUAAGUGGAAGACACGGAGCCGAAGCGAAAGCGAGUCUUAAGAGGGCGGAUAGUUAGUGUACGUAGACCCGAAACCGCAGUGAUCUACCCAUGUCCAGGUUGAAGCGCAGGUAAAAUUGCGUGGAGGACCGAACCUGUGAGCGUUGAAAAGCUUUAGGAUGAGAUGUGGGUAGAGGUGAAAUUCCAAUCGAACGCGGAGAUAGCUGGUUCUCCCCGAAAUAGCUUUAGGGCUAGCCUCAAGUAGUAAGUAUAGGCGGUAGAGCACUGAUCGGGCUAGGGGCCAUAAAGGUUACCGAACCCUGUCAAACUCCGAAUGGUUAUACUGUAGAGCUUGGGAGUCAGACUACGAGUGAUAAGAUCCGUGGUCAAAAGGGAAACAGCCCAGACCACCAGCUAAGGUCCCCAAUGUCGUACUAAGUGGAAAAGGAUGUGGGGUCUCUAAAACAACCAGGAUGUUGGCUUAGAAGCAGCCACCAUUUAAAGAGUGCGUAAUAGCUCACUGGUCGAGAGACCCUGCGCCGAAGAUUACCGGGGCUAAAGUACGAAACCGAAGCUGUGGCUACGACGUAAGUCGUGGGGUAGGGGAGCGUUCUGUGAGGGCUGAAGUCGUUCUGUAAGGAACGGUGGACUUCACAGAAGUGAGAAUGUUGGUAUGAGUAGCGAAAAGAAUGGUGAGAAUCCAUUCCACCGAAAGCAUAAGGAUUCCUGGGCAACGAUCGUCGUCCCAGGGUAAGUCGGGACCUAAUCCGAGGCAUGGAGCGUAGGAGAUGGACAACUGGCAGAUAUUCCAGUACCGGUAAUGAUUGUUUGAGCGAUGGAGUGACACAGGAGGGCAGGCAGGCAGGAGAUUGGUUGUUCCUGUACAAGCGUGUAGGGUGGAACGUAGGCAAAUCCGCGUUCUGUGAGCCUGAGGCGUGAUGUGGAGGUUCCGGAAACGGAACCGAAGCUGCUGACCCCACACUGUCGAGAAAAGCUUCUAGUUAGAGAAUUACCGCCCGUACCGUAAACCGACACAGGUAUGCGGGGAGAGAAUCCUAAGGUGCGCGGGAGAACCCUCGUUAAGGAACUCGGCAAAAUGUACCCGUAACUUCGGGAUAAGGGUAGCCGCUGUUGUGAAGUCUGAACAGACGGAGCAUGAGGCGGUCGCAGAGAAGAGGCCCAAGCGACUGUUUACCACAAACACAGGUGCCUGCUAAAGAGAAAUCUGACGUAUAGGUGCUGACACCUGCCCAGUGCCGGAAGGUUAAGGAAGGAUGUCCGGAGCAAUCCAAAGCAUUCGACCGAAGCCCCGGUGAACGGCGGCCGUAACUAUAACGGUCCUAAGGUAGCGAAAUUCCUUGUCGGGUAAG
This 1960-nucleotide ribosomal RNA is filed under the name human gut metagenome. RNAcentral's name for it is "bacterial LSU rRNA". It matches the Rfam family "Bacterial large subunit ribosomal RNA", at positions 3 to 1980 of the family's 2925-position model. The record is from RNAcentral.